RNAcentral lists this ribosomal RNA (254 nucleotides) under Klebsiella pneumoniae. Its description in RNAcentral is "partial 23S ribosomal RNA". It matches the Rfam family "Bacterial large subunit ribosomal RNA", at positions 2689 to 2925 of the family's 2925-position model. Lineage: Bacteria; Pseudomonadati; Pseudomonadota; Gammaproteobacteria; Enterobacterales; Enterobacteriaceae. The record is from RNAcentral.
GGACCGGAGUGGACGCAUCACUGGUGUUCGGGUUGUCAUGCCAAUGGCACUGCCCGGUAGCUAAAUGCGGAAGAGAUAAGUGCUGAAAGCAUCUAAGCACGAAACUUGCCCCGAGAUGAGUUCUCCCUGAGACUAUAAGUCUCCUGAAGGAACGUUAAAGACGAUGACGUUGAUAGGCCGGGUGUGUAAGCGCAGCGAUGCGUUGAGCUAACCGGUACUAAUGAACCGUGAGGCUUAACCUUACAACGCCGAAG